Molecule: long non-coding RNA, 267 nt
Filed under: Nicotiana benthamiana
Lineage: Eukaryota; Viridiplantae; Streptophyta; Magnoliopsida; Solanales; Solanaceae
Description: long non-coding RNA (NBEN_LNC034465)
Source: RNAcentral
GUGUGGGAACAGGUCCGUAGUUGAUUUGUUCUUUAUUCUUGAAGCAAUUGAAGCUUGCUUGCUGAAUCGUCACGUUAGUGAGCUUCUCAAAAGUUCAAGUAAAUUUUUUUUAUCUCCCUUGAUUUUGUGUGUGUGUGUGAGUGUAUAUAUAUGUGUGUGUGUAUGUGUGUGUGAUAUCACUACAAUGAUGUAAGAAAGGUAGGUAAAAAGUCUUCCCUGCAAAGUUGGCUGCAGCACUAAUCCUUCACUGUAGCAUGUGCAAGUAGC